Molecule: long non-coding RNA, 2288 nt
Organism: Peromyscus eremicus (cactus mouse)
Lineage: Eukaryota; Metazoa; Chordata; Mammalia; Rodentia; Cricetidae
Exons: 2
Source: RefSeq, a predicted model, not a curated record
GCUGCAUAGUUAGAGGACAGAAGGUCACGGUGAGGAAGCCUUGCCUGGGCAGGUGGGGGGUAGGGACUGUCUUCCCUUCCCCCCAACUUUUCCUAGCUGCUGGCAACCUCUGGAGUUCUUAGUGGAUAGAUGUGCCCCUCUAGUUGUCCCUCCUCGCAUGAUGUCUACGUCAUACGUGUCCUGUGUUGGACAGGGUACACCCUUAUGACCUCAUCAUGAAGUCAUCUUCUGCAGAGACCAUUUCCAAAGGUCACAUUUGACCCGAGUCUCAUGUAGCCCAAGCUGACCUCAGAUUGACUUUGCCACCCAGGAUGGUCUUGAGUUCCUGAUCCCCUCUGUCUCUACCUCGAAAGUGCUGCCAUUAUAGGUAUGCAACACCAGACCCCCAAACUGUAAUAUAUUCCCACAUAUAAUUUAACGUUUAUAUAAAAUUAACAUCAAGUAUGAGAUGUCAUCUGCUGGGUCAUUUGUUUGACCCAGUCACUGAUUAACGGUGUCACCCUGCAUAAAGCAUACUCCAACCUGGCAUUGGAGGCUUGUUUUGUUCUCCACUGGGUUUCAUAGAAUAAUGCUUGGUGUGUAAUAAUUCUAGUAAAACUUUACUAAAUGGCUUAAUGAUUUCACCCAGUCCUCCCAACAACCUAUGGACUGAAGCAUUGUGACUCCUUGUUGAGGUACACAUGGUUGCCAGGGAAUAUGGGGUGCUGACUCGAUGCCAAAUGUGCAAGGCAGGCCAAAAGGCAGGAGGCAAGGCUGCCCCUGUCAGUGCCUGGCCCCUCAGCCUACAUCCUUCCCAACUCCACUGGGCUAUUCCUGUGCUGACCACUCCACGUGAAGCCCCAACAUGCUGACCAGGGACUCAUGCCGUCCUCUCAGGAACAUCAAGGGUGACAAUCCAGCGUAUGGACCUGGAGCUUGGUCUUGUUCAUCCUGUCAGUCAAACCAAGACAGAGGUGCCAAGGACCCCACAAGUUAGUGGGCUUGUCCAGUCUAGCUCCCCUUGACCCUUGUCAGACGUAAGUCCUCCAUCUCCAGCCUGUUCUUAUGACUCGGGCUGGUGAUCUUUGCCUUCCUUGGCAGUGGGGUCACAGGUCUCAGACUCUUACAAAGCCUGAUGCUUGCACCGGGUCCCAAACCCGAAUCAUCACUUCAGUUCCAGGAGAUAGCAAGACUGGGCUGAGACGGACAGCAAGCUCUGUCAGCUUCUCCCCUUCAUUUUCCAGUCAGCCUGGCUUGAGGGAAUCUCUGGGCUCUGGUCUGUGCAGCAGACCCAGGGCCUCUCCUUCUCAACACAGUUGCCUGACUUCUCUGCCAUACCCUGUUCUCUGAACAUCAUACCAGGCCCACCCUUCCGUCCUCAUGUGAAAUUUUACCAUUUCUCCCCGGAUCUGUGGGACCAAGCUUCCCCACUACCAGCCUCCCUGCUUCUGACACACUGUCCCCAUUGGUGCCUCAGGGAGCACUGGAGAGUACCCCUGCUCAGUAUGCCAGCAAAGGCUGGUCCUCUGGCCUCCUGAUGACUCACUAGAGAAAAAAAUAAUGGUUUGGAAGAUUAACACGGAGUAAAGGAAAAGAAAGGAUCCUUUGACCACUUUUCCUUGCUCUGAGGAUAAAUCCAAAUAGAGACUCCACCUGACAUCUGGCCCCUCUAGACAUUCCUGCCUUCCUCCCUGUUCCCCAUCGUCUUCCCAUCAUCAUCACUAUUCUAAAACACAGGUACCCCAAACACCUCCUUUAUCUCUCCAAUUCACCAUUUAGCAAACACAUACUCACCUCUCAAAACCCCAGGUACAUAUCACUUCCUCUAUGAAACAGCAAUAGCCACCCUGGGUGUCUGAGAUUACUAACCAUGGUUAUCAGGGUCACCAUAUCCGGAAUCAACUAAAACCCAAGCUGAGCACACAUAGGAGGGAUUUUCUUGAUCGGACAGUGUGAGAGGAAAAGACCCACCUGAAAUGCGCCCACAUAAACGACAUGGAAGAAGGAAGCUUCAUGCUUUUUGCCUGCUUGCCCUCCUUCUUGUUGACAAGUUUAUCUAUCUAUACUGCGGCUCAGGCUUCCCUUUGCUGGUAUUAGAACCUACUUCUUUGGGAUUCUAACAUAGCCUGGAGACCAGCAGCUCUCUAAGAAUUCCUUGAGGAUCCAGCAUCAGAUUGAGGCUGCCGAUACAUCAAGUCUUGCUGGACUGAACAACUUCCUGAUUCUUGGCCUUUCCAAUGAGAGACAGCCUUUUAUGGACUACCCAGACCACAGUCUGUAAGCCAUUCUAAUAAAUCCCUUCAUGUGUA